CACCCCUCUGUGCCAGUGGGCACUGGGGAACUCCUGGCACUGAAGAGAAGUCACCCAGUAACUCCAGAGCAAAACUUUGUAAAGAAAUGAAGUGUGUGUACAGAUUUGGAGGAGAAGCAGAGGUGAGCAUUAUAACCCUGCAGGACACACAGAGGAGGUGGACAGAUUGCCAG
Molecule: long non-coding RNA, 173 nt
Organism: Neopelma chrysocephalum (saffron-crested tyrant-manakin)
Lineage: Eukaryota; Metazoa; Chordata; Aves; Passeriformes; Pipridae
Exons: 3
Source: RefSeq, a predicted model, not a curated record